AUCAAGAGAGAGAGAGAGAGAGAGCAAAAAGCAGUGGGAGAAGAAGAAGGCAACAAAAGAUUGGGAGGCAACCAGAAAAUUUCACACAAACUCAGGGACCCCUCUCUCCUUUUUCAUUUUUCCCACCCAAAUUUUCCCCUCUUCCCGCUGCUCUCUCUCUAUCUCAAAUAUACACACAGAAGCUUUCUCUCUCUCAUUGAUUUGAUUCUCCGCAAGUUCGGUAAGCUCUCUAUCUCCCCUCCAACAUGCAAUUUCUGCUCGCGUGAAUGCUUCGGUUCUAGGGUUUCUGGCUCGUCUUCGCCGUUAAAUUCGUAGCAUGAUUUGGAAAAAUGUCGUUGUUCCGAUUGCUGAGAGAGUAGGUUCGCUCUCCGGCGCCGAAUGCGAGGUGAUAUUCCGUGCGGUUUCGUUGACUUCCGUGGGUGUGUCUGUUCUACUCGCGACUGUAGAGGGGACAUUAGCUUUUGCAUGAGCCUGUUUUUGCGUAUCUGCGAGCUUGCUCUGUCGUUCCAGGCUUUCGCUCGAUUUGGCAAUUGUUGGAGUGGAGGUUGUAGUGAUGUUUAUGGAGCUAUGGACUUGUGAAAAAAUUGACUGGAGCGAGAGAUUUUCUAUUUAUCUCCUGUUUGACAAUUCAUGCUUAUUUUCUCACCUGUCAUGCCUUCUCAAAAGACCAUUUGCACGUGUUAUGGUUUCUUGCUCAGAGUCUGGGGACGAGGGGGCCUUCACAGUCAGGGUCAAAAUCACUCGGAUCCACUCGUGUUUCUGGUGAGAAGAUUGUGUAUCCAUGAGCGAUGCUGGAGUGUCCAUCACUUGAAUCAGUUUGGGGAUUGUUCGCGAGAAUGUGGCUGACUGGAUCCAUGGCGGGUCCACCAGCUUAGUAUCAUUUGUUUGUCAUCGGUCUUCACUUCCGACAUGCGUUUUUGCCUUCUUGAGAGGAAAAGGUGAAAUUGGUACCUUGAUGUAUUUUUUAUCGAUAUUCACUGCCUGACUUCAUACAUUAGCAACAAGCUAAUGGAGUGCAACAAAGAGGAGGCUGUCAGGGCAAAGGAAAUUGCAGAAGUUCGCAUGCGAAACAAUGACUUUGCAGGGGCAUUGCGCAUUGCACAGAAGGCCCGGCGUCUUUUCCCGGAGCUUGAGAACCUAUCCCAAAUCCUGGCUGUUUGCGAGAUUCAUUGUUCUGCACACACCAAAGUUUGUGGAUCUGAGCAUGAUUGGUAUGCGAUCCUACAGAUUGAAAAGUCGGCUGAUGAUAUAACUAUCAAGAAGCAGUACAGAAAGUUUGCUUUGUUACUUCAUCCUGAUAAAAAUAAAUUUACUGGUGCUGAGGCCGCUUUUAAGCUGAUUGUUGAAGCGAAUAGGGUGUUAACAGACCAGUUGCAGCGACAAUUAUACGACACUAAGGUUAAGAAUUUAGUGCAGCCACAGAAGCCUCCAGUUCAUCAACCAACUCGGUCUGGUGUCAGAAGAAGAAACGGAACCCGGAACCAAUCAGAGAGCCCUUCCAAUUCACAGUUUUCAAGUUCAAACACUGAUCAGCAGGGGCAGCAGCAGACUUUCUGGACCAGCUGCCCCUUAUGUAAUAUAAGGUAUCAGUAUUAUAAGCAAUUUGUGAAUAAAGCUUUGCGUUGUCAGACUUGCAAGAAAGCCUUUAUUGCCUAUGACUUCAGUACUCAAGGCAUGGCACCCGGACCACAGUGGAGUCAUUUUGCCAACCAGCCGGAUUUUUCAAAUUUUGGGUUCUCAAAAGCGACUCCUCAGGCUAAUAAUGGAGUUCCUCCUCCUAUGCAGUUCGCGGACAGGUUUUCGGAAUUUGUUCCACUAGGUAAACAAAAGGGGCAUGGUGAGGCUGCUGGCAGUUCGAGAGCUAAGGUGGGCAAUGAGUCUGUUGACGAGGGAGCUGGAACGAAAGCAGAUAGAAAGCCCUGCGGUAAUGCAGCAAGACCAACAGGAAUGGGUUCUCAAAGUACCACUGGCAGUAUGAAAGGUGGGAAUUCUGGGGUUGAAUUUGGUGGGACUUCUAAGAAUGUGAGUAGGAAUGACACUGUUGGAGAUGCUGGCACUUCAGAAGAUGGAAUUAAUCCUUCCCAGUCAAAUUCUGAACUCAAUGGAGCUAUGAGAUCUCAUCAAAAACAAACUCCCUCCAGGAAGUCUUCUCGCCUAAAGCAACAUGCAUCUUACAAUGACAAUUCAGUUAGUGACGACGACUUUGUUUGCCCACCAAAAAGGUCGAGGGCCGAUGGGGCGUCGGAUUCUGUGGAAGCUAAGAAAAAGCAAGGGACUGUUGAAGGCUGCAGUAAUGAUAGUUUUUCAACUUUUUCUAUUCCUGAAAAUUGCAUUAAUAAAGACAUUAAAAAUGAAAAAGUUCUUCCUCAGAAAGAAAGCUUAUCUGGGAAUGAUUCUGGGAUAAUGAAGCCUGAAGAGAAGAGAGGGGAAGCAGUUUCUGCAGAUGAGCAUAAUGAAUCCAACUGUAGUUCUGGUUUGGUACCUGGGCUGGAACCUCAAAUAGUUGUCUGCCCUGAUCCAGAGUUUAGUGAUUUCGAGAAGGAUAAAGCGCAAACCUGUUUUGCUGUUAAUCAAGUAUGGGCAUUGUAUGAUACAUUAGAUGGCAUGCCGAGAUUUUAUGCUCGGAUAAAGAAAGUGUUUUCUCCGGGUUUCAAGGUGCAAAUCACUUGGCUAGAGGCUGAUCCGGAUGACCAAGAUGAGAUUGAUUGGUCUGACCAGGAGUUGCCUGUUGCUUGUGGCAAGUACAGAACUGGGCACACGGAAGAAAUGGAAGAUCAUCUGAUGUUCUCUCACCAGAUAGAGUGUCUUAAGGGUGCUCGUAGAGGCUCUUUCCUGGUAUAUCCUAGAAAAGGGGAGAUAUGGGCCCUUUUUAAGAACUGGGAUAUAAAAUGGAGCUCCGAACCAGAGAAAUAUCUUCCUUGCAAGUAUGAAUAUGUGGAGAUCCUCUCAGAUUUUGUCAAGGACUGUGGCAUUAAGGUUGUGUAUUUGAGCAAGGUGAAAGGCUUUGUUUGCUUGUUUCAGCGAGUAGAUGCAUGUAAAGAUGCAGAUGCCUCAUUUGAAAUAGCUCCACGUGAGUUGUACCGGUUUGCUCAUCGAGUUCCAUCAUUUGUGAUGACUGGGAAUGAAAGACAAGGUGUUCCUGCCGGAUCUUUUGAACUUGAUCCUGCAGCUUUAGAUAUUGACGAGCUCAAAGAUACUGUGGAGAAGAAAUGUGCUGAUGCUGAUGUAAGGAAGCGUGGGCCUAAAAAUUCUACGGUAGAGAUGCCUGUAAGGAGGUCGCCAAGGGCUUUGAGCAAACAGCUGCAGUCCAAUAAAUGCUAGUGGAUCUACUGCCAAAGAAGGGAUGUAGAAGCAGUUUAUACUAAUGGCCACUUAACUUGGAAGUUGCAAGUAAUGUUCAGCAGCUUGACUGGGAAUGAACCUAUCUUCUGCAAGAUCAGAAUUCGGCUGUGCAGGUAUAGUUGGUCCUCAGGCACCACUCCUGCUUCAGGAAUUAUCCCCAAAAGAAUAAGAAAAGAUGCUUGACUGAUUCCCCUUGAAUUGUAACUAUAUUUUCUCAAGAGAGGGCGAAUACUGAGUUUUGAAACGGAAGACAAUGUUUUGGGGUAGAAGGGAGAUAGAGAUUGACUGCAUGGAAUUUUGAGGUAUUGGUAGAUGUACUAUUAGGUCCCCAACUGUUGGUAAAUGUUGAUGUUAUUUUCUUCUCGCCAAAGAAGUUUAUGCUAAUUUGACUAGAUAGUUUCUAUGAUUCUACCCUUAGUUAGAAGCCAUCUUGCUUUUGGAAGUUCCAUUGUGGAAUCUCAGAUGAGCUUAUCUGUUCCGACUUUGCUAUAUCUUUUAUGCUGGCUGUGGCUUUUUGAAUCUCUAUUUUAUUAAUGGUCUGAAGUUUCGGCUCA
This is an RNA transcript of Rhodamnia argentea, 3896 nucleotides long. RefSeq lists it as uncharacterized. NCBI's taxonomy places the organism in Eukaryota, Viridiplantae, Streptophyta, Magnoliopsida, Myrtales, Myrtaceae. The record is from RefSeq and is a predicted model, not a curated record. The transcript has 4 exons.